This is a small nucleolar RNA of Nycticebus coucang (slow loris), 104 nucleotides long. RefSeq annotates it as small nucleolar RNA U13. The record is from RefSeq and is a predicted model, not a curated record. Lineage: Eukaryota; Metazoa; Chordata; Mammalia; Primates; Lorisidae. The transcript has a single exon.
AUCCUUUUGUAGUUCAUAAGCAUGAUGAUUGAGUUUUCAUGCACAUGUGAGAGAUGUGCCUCCCCAAAAUCUUGUUAUGACGUUAGCACAUUACCCGUCUGAUG